AAACUUAAAGGAAUUGACGGGGACCCGCACAAGCAGCGGAGCAUGUGGUUUAAUUCGAAGCAACGCGAAGAACCUUACCUAGACUUGACAUCUCCUGAAUUACUCGUAACUGAGGAAAUCCCUUCGGGGACAGGAAGACAGGUGGUGCAUGGUUGUCGUCAGCUCGUGUCGUGAGAUGUUGGGUUAAGUCCCGCAACGAGCGCAACCCUUAUCAUUAGUUGCUAACAUUCAGUUGAGCACUCUAGUGAGACUGCCUGGGUUAACCAGGAGGAAGGUGGGGAUGACGUCAAAUCAUCAUGCCCCUUAUGUCUAGGGCCACACACGUGCUACAAUGGUGGGGGCAAAGAGAUGCAAUACCGCAAGGUGGAGCCAAACUCAAAACCCCAUCCCAGUUCGGAUUGUAGGCUGAAACUCGCCUACAUGAAGCCGGAGUUGCUAGUAAUCGCGAAUCAGAAUGUCGCGGUGAAUACGUUCCCGGGUCUUGUACACACCGCCCGUCACACCAUGAGAGUCGGCAACMCCCGAAGCCCGUGAGGUAACCUUUUGGAACCAGCGGUCGAAGGUGGGGUUGAUGAUUGGGGUGAAGUCGUAACAAGGUAGCCGUAGGAGA
RNAcentral lists this ribosomal RNA (610 nucleotides) under uncultured bacterium. RNAcentral's name for it is "bacterial SSU rRNA". It matches the Rfam family "Bacterial small subunit ribosomal RNA", at positions 897 to 1509 of the family's 1533-position model. The record is from RNAcentral.